This 2794-nucleotide long non-coding RNA is filed under the name Sus scrofa (pig). RNAcentral describes it as "lncRNA (ENSSSCG00045010946.1)". The record is from RNAcentral. Lineage: Eukaryota; Metazoa; Chordata; Mammalia; Artiodactyla; Suidae.
UUAGUCUCUGGCCAAGUACUCAUUCAAAGGACGGCUUUUACUAUACCCUAAAUCCCUACCCAUCUCACUUGUCUUCCCUCCCACAGAUUCUGGGGGUUGCUAUGCACAAGCUUGGUACAGGAGCUCCCUGGUCCUCCACCCUCGGUGCCGUGCAGCUGGCUCUCUCAGCCUCCAUGAUCCCUGCUUUGUAGCUGAGUUUGGGCAAUUGGAUUAGCAUAUUUCAAAGGCUCUUUGCCAUGAAGAUUAAAUAUCUGCUUGAAGUGGAAAGUUGAAGUGACGUCCUCCUUGGACAGAAGCACAGAGGCAAUGACAUUCCCUAUGAAAAACCGUUUAAAAUCCCACUUAAGAUGUUUAAUUAUUUCACACCCAGUUUUGUAUAGAUUACUCUAGAACACUCUGAUAGGGAACAGAUUUUUUAAUCACAUUUGGUAGAUUCUAAAUUCUAAAUUCAAAACACUUUAAUAAAUGAAAUCACCAGUUACUUUUAUUGCUUCAGAAUUUCUACCCUGCAGUUCACAAUAAGGGCAGCAGUUGUAUCUUUUCUCCAGGCCAUGCUUCCUGGCACUUGGGUCACACAGCAGCACAUGUUGCUUUUCUAUAAUGCUUUUUCCCUUGGCUAUUUGGCCACUUACCAUAAAGGAAGUGAGGACAACAAGGGUAAAAGACUGAAACAUGGGAUUCUGCUACUGUUCUUUUUUUAUCCAAAAAAAAAAAAAAAAUUAAACAGCACAUGCUCUCUACAUCAUAUGUCUUUGCUUUGGGUUCGCAUUUUGGGUAUAUUCAGAAGUACCUAGAUGAAUUCUGGCCAAACUGGAAAGACACCAAGAUAAUUAUCAGUUAUGUCUUCAAGCAGAUACCAGCUUAUUGUUUAAAUGCCGAGUAAAAAGGCACAGGAAUAAGGAGUAGGUUGAAAAGCUUGAAAAAUGCAUCAACGUUUUAACUGCUAAAAUCUCCUACCUCACUAGAUGUAAUAGGUAAACUUCCAAAUGGGGGCCAUGUCACUUUAAGGAAAUUAAGGCCCUAAACAUAGGAGAAACACAGCCAAUCAUGACUCUCAAAAAUAAUUCAUUUCUAUGUUCCUUAGUGCACAAGACAUCACUUAGACCCAAAAAGAAAUAUUAAGCUUCAUGGCGUGGCAGCUGCCAGAAGCCAGUUCCCUUAUCAGUCCAGCAGGAGUGUAAUUAAAGACAAUAGCUGGAGCAGCUGUAUUGAAAAAACAAGUCAUUUGUCUUCCCCCUUCCCCCACCUCUUCUGCUCACGUAGUUAAUCUGAACACAGCAUCAGCUCCAUCAUCAAGCUUCUCAAAAGGCAGAAUAAUGGGAAACAUAUCUGUUUCCCACUGUGGAUUGUGAGUGUUGAAGAAAUACUUGCUCUUAUCUUGCUAUGGCAUUAUAUAAAAUGCAAGCAAUUUAGCCCUGGAGAUUCAAAAGCUCCUGAGAUAGGAGAAUGUUGUUAUUGCAGAACAAGAACAAUUAUCUUCAGGGAUAGGGAGAACCUGAGAAAAUGGCUCAUACACAUUGGGUCUUCUAAAAAAUGUUUAACAGGCUCUUCAGGGGAAAACCUGGAUUUAUAAUAUUUUCCAAUUUCUGUGGUGUAAAUCUUCUCACCAUGACUGAUUUCAAGCUACCAAUACAACAUCACUGAACACCAAGUUGGAAAGAAAUCUACCAUAGGAAACCAUUAAACAGUACUCCUACCCCACAUACAAUAGUAUAGAUAAUAGUAAAAUUACUAGAAAGUGAUGAAUUUUGAGGAUUUUUUACCUUUGAUUUUAAUGCAAUUUAUUGAUUUUGUGUGUCUUUUUUUAGGGCCACACCCAUGGUGUAUGGAGGUUCCCAGGCUAAGGGUUGAAUCAGAGCUGUAGCUGCUGGCCUACACUACAGCCACAGCAAUGCCAGAUUGAAGUCGCAUCUGAGACCUACAACACAAUUCAUGGCAGCACCAGAUCCUUAACCCACUAAGCUAGGCCGGGGAUUGAACCUUCAUCCUCAUGGAUACUAGUCAGAUUUGUUUCUGCUGAGCCACGACGGUAACUCCUGAAAUUUUAUAUAAUUUAAUUUUUAAUAAUCACUAUGCUUAUUGCCUUGCAGAAUUCCAAAAAAAAAAAAAAAAUCACCUCUCACAGCUGGUCCUAGCUGACUCCAUCCCACCACUAUCUAUACUAUAUGCUGGCUACCACUUUACUAGAAGUAACAAAUAGCUAUUUAGUUAUAACAAGUGAAGGAGAAUGCAUAAUAAUAAUUUUCAUUUUUUUAAAAAUGGAGUUUAGUCAUUUCUUUCAUAGGUCAUAAGAUCUACCUCUCCAGAAUGUUCUCCCUGAAGCCAUAAGAAAGAUCAUCUAGCAACAUGCUUUUGUGAUGUUACUAAAACAAUGAAAAUCCAGGUGCUUUUCAUAAUCAUGAUUGUCGAGAAUGUAUUUUGUAAUUCUUUCUUCUUCAUAGGUCUAUGACUAAAUGCUAAUAGGAAACUUUGGCUGAGGCACCAAGAUAAUGAAUGUCACAUUCCAAAUACAAAGCUAUGCUGAGAACUUGUAAAAGAGAUGAUCAAAAAACAGUUGCACAGACUUCCACUUCUGGGAGGAUGGAGUUGACAUAUUUUCCCUGUCCUUUCCAGUAAGUAUGACUAAACAUCUGGACAUUAUAUAUAAAACAAAUGAAAGAAGACUCUGAAAGGUAGAGAGACACUGAUAGACCAGCUAGGGAGUAACACAGAGGUGAGUUUCCUGGCUUUUCUUUUUGCCUCAUAAAUCCCAGAGGAGGAGCUGAAGAAGCCAGCAACCCAGAAACACCAAUGG